Molecule: long non-coding RNA, 471 nt
Organism: Suricata suricatta (meerkat)
Lineage: Eukaryota; Metazoa; Chordata; Mammalia; Carnivora; Herpestidae
Exons: 4
Source: RefSeq, a predicted model, not a curated record
UCCUGUCUCAAGAAGACUCUCAACCCAAUGAGACUUGCUUCCCUUCACCUCUUUUCAGAAUUUCUCAAGCAUUAAGGUGCACAUUGGAUAUACUUGUUGGCCAGUUUGUGGUUGGAGAGACCUUGUUACACGUGCUGGCGGAUUCUCAGAGAUUAAAAACAAAGGCAGCUGGUGGAAGCCAUUGGACUGCAGAAUCCGCUACUUGAAGCACAACACUGUGGGAGGGUUUUUUUCUCUCUCUCUGACUAUUGGGAUUAGUGCAAAAUGAGGAAGAAGAUUGUGAAUUGUGCAAAUACCUUCUCCCAUUCUGUGGGCUGCAUUUUAGUUUGCUGAAGCAAGAUUGUAACCUUUGGGAAGUUAAGAGUCCAUUUCCUGCUGUGUGCCCAUUAGCCAGCAGAGUGCCUCCCACAGAUUAGACCCUCAAAACAUGUUGUCUGAAGGAAUAAAUGAAUAAACUUUAAAAUGAUAAAA